GUACUGCUGAAGAGUCCCAAACUAGGACGAAACAGCUGUUAAGUAC
Trichobilharzia regenti is the source of this 46-nucleotide non-coding RNA. Lineage: Eukaryota; Metazoa; Platyhelminthes; Trematoda; Strigeidida; Schistosomatidae. The record is from Rfam.